Molecule: long non-coding RNA, 1226 nt
Organism: Candoia aspera
Lineage: Eukaryota; Metazoa; Chordata; Lepidosauria; Squamata; Candoiidae
Exons: 2
Source: RefSeq, a predicted model, not a curated record
CUGUAUGUAGAAGCUCUCCAGAAGAUAAAGCAAAGCUAGUGGAGGGGGCAGAGAAAUGGGGGAAUGUGACACAAAGGCCAAAGCCUUCCAAGAAGAAUUCUUGAUGUCUGUAGUUUCAGAAUAGAUUCCAGGGCCUCCCUGUUGAUGAUAUAUCUGGACCCCUGGAUGAAGAGCAGCUGCCACAAGCUUCAUGGAUUCAGAAAGAGUACUGUACUGUAUUAUACAUUUAUCUGUGAAGUUUGAGUUCAGGUCAUCAUCAUUAUACAGGGGUAGAUUUGUCACCAUCCAUCCAGUACACAGUUUGAUCACACCCAUUAACUGUGGACUUCCAGCAAACACAGCAGCAAUAGGAGCCUGUCUUCUGUAAAAAAUAAUAAUGUCUUGUCUCUCAUACAUUCCAUGGAGGCAUCUGUAGAGUUCAGAAAUGCUCUUCGAGCCAGACUUUGCUCCUGGAGGUAGGGUCAGUUCUCAGGCUGGUAAGAAUCCAGAUGGUGGUUUUAUAAGUAACUUGCCCAUAAUCAUUAAAAAGACCUGCCUCCUUGCCAGUUCACAGAAAAGCCAUUAUAAUGAAAUUAUAAAAGGCUUGAUCCAAUUGACUUAGUAGAUAAAAGACUUCUAAUGGAAAUAGUUCAGUUGCUGAAAUGCUGGUAACCUUAUUCUUAUGACUUCAAUAAAUCUUAGGAGGAUUCCGCAAUCCAUGCCUGGAAAAAGGAUUCCUGUCCAACAAUCUGACACUUGAUGGCCCAGAAGCAACCAAAGUCAGUGGUACUUUGGCACAGCUUGCAGCUGACCACACCUUUUCCUGUACAAUUAUACAUGUUUUCGUAACAUCAAAAUUGAACUCUGGCAACAUGCUCCUCGUGGUGCUGCCCCUGAAAAGGUUUUGAUUGGACACGUGGCUUUAUUAUUUUGCUUCGCUGACUGCAAACACUGGUUAUUGCUUUUAAACUCCUGAACAGUUUGGGCCCAUGUCAACUAUAACAGUUUCCUCCUUCUGUGUCUUCUUACCUCAUGCCAUCUGAACUGUUUUAUGCUGGAUUGUGUUCCUGAUUUUUUAAAAAAGGAAACAAGUCAGAGUUCCUGAUUCCAACAUUAAUGCUAAAGGAACUAGUUUGUCCAAACGUAUCAUUCUAGUUUCUAAAGCCCUGCUCAAUCACUGUGUAACAAUCAAAUUUCUAACAUGUGAAAAUGAUGGAGUAUCCAUGAAAGGUCAUGUGAUUAAACCA